CUGAGCCGUAUGAGGUAGGAAACUCUCAAGUACGGUUCUAGGGAAAGGAACUGCCUAUUCCAAC
Molecule: non-coding RNA, 64 nt
Organism: Zea mays
Lineage: Eukaryota; Viridiplantae; Streptophyta; Magnoliopsida; Poales; Poaceae
Source: Rfam